This 1740-nucleotide long non-coding RNA is filed under the name Panax ginseng (ginseng). Its description in RNAcentral is "long non-coding RNA (PGIN_LNC008646)". Lineage: Eukaryota; Viridiplantae; Streptophyta; Magnoliopsida; Apiales; Araliaceae. The record is from RNAcentral.
CAAUGUCCAGCAGCAAAGUAAAAAUUACAGCAGCAACAACUAACAAAACAAGCCCAAACACUUCUACAGUAUCACUUAUAAAAAAUUACAGCAACAACAACUAACUACAACAGUCAACUAAGUAACUAAGUAACUACAGGCCUACAGCAGCAACCAGCAACCAGCAACCAGCAACCAGCAAGGCAGCAACCAGCAGUCCAGCAACCAGCAUUAGCAUCACUGCAUCAGCGAGACAACGAUUCAGCAUCAACAAGCUCCAGUCUUGCAGUUUCCCAAUAGCACUACAACAGUCAACAAUAACAGAUUAACAGUAAUAAAAAAAACAAUUGUAUACUGAACUAAAUUACUGAUAGCAGUAAACAAAUACUUAUUGACUAGCUCUUUCUUGUUUUCCUGCAGAACAGAAAAAAAAACCCAAAAACACAAGUAUAAAACAGAGAAUACUGUCAUUUGCCUCGCUCUCAUGUCCAAUUGGAUCAAGGUCAUCAAGGUUAGGCUCGUCCGUAUCAUUCACCAUGUGCAAAUCAUUUAAAAGACCUCUUGACAUCAUCUACAAAUGUCAAACAAAUCAAAUUAACAUGUCAAUCACUAAUAACUAUCAACAUUGGUGUUUUGCAACAUACGAUAACUGCAAUUCACCAGACUCACCACUGUACAAGGCUACAAGCCUAUAUUAUUAAGGAAUAACACAUAAAACUAAAACUAAAAUCUAGUCAGUAGACAAUAGUCACCACCCUCACACCUUUAAAAAACAGUCAGUCGACUCAGUCCUAAUAAACUUUAAAAAGGUCUAUUGUAAACUGAAAUUGCAGUCAGAGACUCAGAAUCCAAAUUCACUUCAAAUACAUAAUACCCAAGCUCAUCAAAUGAUUAAAAGUUGACUAGUGUUACUAUGUGUGUGUGUGAAUGCAGUAACAAAGUUACCAACUUAUCAUGAUUAGAACCACUAUGAAGGCAUCAUGUAAAUUUUUAUAGUAACUUGAUUCAUUAUCAAUGUCAGUCACACAACUAUAGAAAUCCCCAUGGUAAAAAAAUAAUCGAGUAACGAGAAAAUUAGACAUGAAAUCAGUUGACAGUGGAAUCAAUUGAUGAGCUUGGAAUAAAAAAAUUACCCAAAUUAAAUCAAAUCAUGAAAUCAAAUCAUAACCCAAAUUAAACUGUAAGGAUACACAGAGUAAAAAUUACUAAGAUAAUCGAAAAACCCUCUUCUUCUUUUGGGUAAAAAAGUGACCAUUCUGAAGAAAAACAAUUAAACCUAAAUUAGAUAAUAAACAAAUAAAAGAAACCCAAAUUGACAAGAACCAAAUUAAACCCAAAUUAGACAAGACACACAAAGAAGAAGCUAUCAGUAAAAUCAAUAAACUUAAUCCCCAACAAAACAACAUGCAGUCAGCCAGUCAUGCACACGAAUCUUGAUAGAGAUUAGAGAUUAGUGAAUGAAAUUUACCUGUCGGACUAGGGAGAGCAGGAGAGAGCCGGACUGCAAAAGGUCAGACGGCGCGACAAACAGUGAGAGCCGAGAGGCGGAGGCCGGCCGCCGGCGCAGAGAUUGAGUCAGACACUCGGACAGUCGGACUAUCGGAGAGAGGCGGAGACUGGAGAUCAGAUGAUGUAACGAGAAGCAAGAAGAGGCUGAGCCGCUGAGGAAUGGAUUUCAGAUCUCAGAUCUGGGACUGGGAGACUGGGACUGGGUGGGAGAGACGACUGGUCGGCUACGGGUAGGGCAAAAAACAAUGUAAC